CAGCCGCCACGGUAAUACGGAGGGGGCUAGCGUUAUUCGGAAUUACUGGGCGUAAAGCGCACGUAGGCGGAUCAGAAAGUCAGAGGUGAAAUCCCAGGGCUCAACCUUGGAACUGCCUUUGAAACUCCUGAUCUUGAGGUCGAGAGAGGUGAGUGGAAUUCCGAGUGUAGAGGUGAAAUUCGUAGAUAUUCGGAGGAACACCAGUGGCGAAGGCGGCUCACUGGCUCGAUACUGACGCUGAGGUGCGAAAGCGUGGGGAGCAAACAGGAUUAGAUACCCCCGUAGUCCCUGUCUCUUAUAC
This 301-nucleotide ribosomal RNA is filed under the name uncultured bacterium. Its description in RNAcentral is "partial 16S ribosomal RNA". It matches the Rfam family "Bacterial small subunit ribosomal RNA", at positions 509 to 807 of the family's 1533-position model. The record is from RNAcentral.